CAGCCGCCGCGGUAAUACGAAGGGGGCUAGCGUUGUUCGGAAUGACUGGGCGUAAAGGGCGCGUAGGCGGCGAUCAAAGUCAGGCGUGAAAUUCCUGGGCUCAACCUGGGGGCUGCAUUUGAUACGUGUUGUCUAGAGUGAGGAAGAGGGUUGUGGAAUUCCCAGUGUAGAGGUGAAAUUCGUAGAUAUUGGGAAGAACACCGGUGGCGAAGGCGGCAACUUGGUCCUUGACUGACGCUGAGGCGCGAAAGCGUGGGGAGCAAACAGGAUUAGAGACCCGCGUAGUCCCUGUCUCUUAUAC
RNAcentral lists this ribosomal RNA (301 nucleotides) under uncultured bacterium. RNAcentral's name for it is "partial 16S ribosomal RNA". It matches the Rfam family "Bacterial small subunit ribosomal RNA", at positions 509 to 807 of the family's 1533-position model. The record is from RNAcentral.